GCCGGAGUGGUGGAAUUGGCAGACACAAGGGACUUAAAAUCCCUCGGGAGCAAUCCCGUACGGGUUCGACCCCCGUCUCCGGUA
RNAcentral lists this transfer RNA (84 nucleotides) under Nitrospiraceae bacterium. RNAcentral describes it as "tRNA-Leu". It matches the Rfam family "tRNA". Rfam says of the family: Transfer RNA (tRNA) molecules are approximately 80 nucleotides in length. Their secondary structure includes four short double-helical elements and three loops (D, anti-codon, and T loops). The record is from RNAcentral. Lineage: Bacteria; Pseudomonadati; Nitrospirota; Nitrospiria; Nitrospirales; Nitrospiraceae.